AUGGGAUUCUGCUGUGGGCCUUCCGAUGUCAAGGUGCUCCCAAAUAACACCUCCUCAUUGUCGUCAACGUCUUCCUCAUCGUCAUCACCCGCUAAAGAUUCUGCCGACGGUGGCAAGAAGAAGCAACAGCAAGGUGUGAAGAAGGAGCGGGGGAGGGAGAAGAAGAAGAGCAACCUUGACCGUGCCGCCAUGGCUACGCCCCGCCUCCCCUUCCAUUCUCGGCCCGGUCUCAUGUAA
Molecule: ribosomal RNA, 237 nt
Filed under: Triticum aestivum (bread wheat)
Lineage: Eukaryota; Viridiplantae; Streptophyta; Magnoliopsida; Poales; Poaceae
Description: partial small subunit ribosomal RNA
Source: RNAcentral